This 439-nucleotide ribosomal RNA is filed under the name uncultured bacterium. Its description in RNAcentral is "partial 16S ribosomal RNA". It matches the Rfam family "Bacterial small subunit ribosomal RNA", at positions 338 to 795 of the family's 1533-position model. The record is from RNAcentral.
CCUACGAGAUGCAGCAGUGGGGAAUAUUGCACACUGGGGGGAACCCUGCUGCAGCGACGCCGCGUGAGUGAAUAAGUAUUUCGGUAUGUAAAGCUCUAUCAGCAGGGAAGAACAUGACGUUACCUGACUAAGAAGCCCCGGCUAACUACGUGCCAGCAGCCGCGGUAAUACGUAGGGGGCAAGCGUUCUCCGGAUUUACUGGGUGUACGGGAGCGCAGACGGCUGUGCAAGUCUGGAGGGAAAGGCGGGGGCCCAACCCCCGGACUGCUCUGGAAACUGUAAAGCUGGAGUGCAGGAGAGGUAAGCGGAAUUCCGAGUGUAGCGGUGAAAUGCGGAGAUAUUAGGAGGAACACCAGUGGCGAAGGCGGCUUACUGGACUGCAACUGACGUUGAGGCUCGAAAGCGUGGGGAGCAAACAGGAUUAGAUACCCCUGUAGUC